UGUAUUGUGCUCUCUCUCAGCUGGUCCCUGGCACUGCUUCAGACUGGAAUAGGAAAGAACUCUCACAGCACACUGACCAACAUUUACCCCCUCACUCGACUCUACAAGAACAGGUUCCUCUGCUGUUUUUCACACUGAAACCAUGGGCAGGAACUGGCAGCAGUGACUGCUGGUGAGGACCAUGAAAGCUCACGGGGGUGCUUUACAGUCGGUGCCGCUCUACGUGAAAACCUGAAGUGCCUGAUCACAGAGGCCAGUCCAGAAACCCUUGAAGUUUGACAAGAGAAGAACAGGGGACUGAAGAGGCUUGGGUGUUCCAGCCUGGAAAAGACAUUAAUCUAGUGAAGCCCUUGGGAGCAAGACGCACGUGUGCAGCACUGAGGAGUGUGUACAAGACCCUGGAUAACACGUUCAACCAAGGCCCCAACUGCCUGCUCAGAUGAGUGAAACA
This is a long non-coding RNA of Mobula hypostoma (lesser devil ray), 451 nucleotides long. RefSeq lists it as uncharacterized. Lineage: Eukaryota; Metazoa; Chordata; Chondrichthyes; Myliobatiformes; Myliobatidae. The transcript has 3 exons. The record is from RefSeq and is a predicted model, not a curated record.